AAUGGAUAGGAUGGGAUGGCGAAUGGGAAUAUUAUGGAUGAGUUGGAGAAUGGAUAGGAUGGGAUGGGAUGGGAUAUUAUGGGAUGGGUUGGAGAAUGGAUGGGAUGGGGUGGGAUGGGAUGGCUGCUAAAAUAUACAAAAAUAUUAAUGAUUCCACAAGUAUAAGGUGUAUUUUGGAGUAUCACAGCCUGUGACUGUGUUAACAGCACACAAUCGUGGCAUAAGCUGUUGACAGGAGGUGGCAGGGGGAAAAAUAACCAGAGAUGGCUACAGUGUGAAAAGGGAGCGAAGAGGAGGAAAAAUAGGUUUGGCUGUAUGUGUACUUCUGUAUUGAAGUGAAUACAAAUGGCAGUGUAUCUUGGCUAACCAGAUGGCAAUUUAUACAUGGAUUGUGGAAGAUGGAGGUAUUUUUAACAGAUCCUUCCAUAGAAAUGGGGCGGCAUUUACUCAGCUCAUGACAUCAGAUGUGACAAACCCCUACUCUUAUAAAGGCUACCUGGGAAAUAAAGUUGUUACGAAGACGUUUUGAACGAAAGAGUUUGUGCAAAUAUAACUCAGAGCAGAAAUUGGUCUAAAGCAAUUCAAUCAUUGAUGAUGCAUAAAGAACCAGAGGUGGGGUUGAGAGCGAUGUUGUGAGUGGGUGAAAAACAUAUUUUAAUAUAAACUGCAGGAAAUCUGGUAUUUGCAUCCCCAAGAGAAUGAACCAGAACCCAAAAAUGACAGUACUGAAUGAUUUCCAGUAAGUAUCUGAGACUAUUUGAGCAGUAAUAAGAUAACAAUGCUGUCUAGUCUGUGCAGGACAAGAGUUAGUGAUUCAGUCCCUUUGUGAUGCAGGUGGCGUCUUGCUCCACCCAGACAUAAAAGAGGACAGUUUACCUCCUGGAGGAGAGGUGGUCCUUAUGAAUUAUAAAGUUUGGAACUUGGAACACCUAAAAUCAGAGAAAUGUCAGGAGAAGGUUUAAGGGCUGUGUUUUUCUGUGACUCGUUAUGACUGAGCCAAUACAUUGUACGAUCACGCCAAAACAAAACGUGUUCCAGUUUGUAACUUGACGUAACUUUUAGGGUCACAAGGAUGUUAAGUUUGAAGAGUUCUUGGUGGGGAUGCUGCCAAGUUGUACAAUUCGAUGUCGAUUGCUGCGUGUCAAGGAACAGUAAUGAAUGAGUGAAUGUAUUGGCCCACUAAGCUGUGCAGAGCAGCA
Molecule: long non-coding RNA, 1199 nt
Filed under: Coturnix japonica (Japanese quail)
Lineage: Eukaryota; Metazoa; Chordata; Aves; Galliformes; Phasianidae
Description: lncRNA (ENSCJPG00005002972.1)
Source: RNAcentral